RNAcentral lists this ribosomal RNA (243 nucleotides) under uncultured Synergistaceae bacterium. RNAcentral describes it as "partial 16S ribosomal RNA". It matches the Rfam family "Bacterial small subunit ribosomal RNA", at positions 1141 to 1382 of the family's 1533-position model. Lineage: Bacteria; Thermotogati; Synergistota; Synergistia; Synergistales; Synergistaceae. The record is from RNAcentral.
UGGAAGGACUGCCAUCGACAAGAUGGAGGAAGGUGGGGAUGACGUCAAGUCAUCAUGGCCCUUAUGUCCAGGGCGACACACGUGCUACAAUGGCCGGCACAACGGGAAGCGAGUUCGCGAGGACGAGCGGAUCCCUCAAAGCCGGUCGCAGUUCGGAUUGAAGUCUGCAACUCGACUUCAUGAAGCUGGAAUCGCUAGUAAUCGUGGAUCAGCCAAGCCGCGGUGAAUACGUUCCCGGGCCUU